AGAAACCGAGGAAACCACAAGAGUGAAGACUAGUAGAGUCUCAUCUUUUGUCAUUCUUUGCUCCUUUUUCACUCAAUGAUUCAUUCGAAUUUCCCAACCAAAAAUUCUAUAUGUCUAUUCUAUGAUAUUUUUAUAUAUAUAGAAUAUGAUAUCUAAUAUGACACCCGAUUUGUCAAAGGGAUUGGAUUGGUUGGGGACUUGUUCUCAAGUGCUUCAAUCGAAAGGAAAUGAUAGUACAAGCGUGACGCAGAAAGCAAAUGCCAAGUCAGCGUGAACGGUACGGGAGUACUGCUCACCUAUUUAUAGGCACGGGACGCAACCCAUACAAAAUUACAUUCAUGCCCUUUACAUUUGAUAAUAAUUCUAUGGUAAUGUAUCAAGGUCUGAAUAGCCUUUUCAUCUUUAAGUCGGUUUCAUUUUCUGCAACCACGCCGAAGCUUUCCUGCUCAACACCUUCGGCUCUGUAGCAAGCUUCGUAUUAUUCCAGUCUACUGCAAUGCCGACUUUAGUCCGAGAGUACCUGUUCACACAUUGCACUACAGAAAUACUGUUAAAUCCUUGUUUUUGAGGACCUUCGGACUCCGAAGGUCCCCAACAGUAGCCCCUCGCAAUAUUAAUUUGUUUGAAAUAAUAAAUUUAGAUUGCGAUAUGGACGAAGGCUUUUACGCCGAAGGUCCGAAAAAACACCUUCCCUUUGCUAGAAUAGCAACAUUCAAUGACAAGUGGGGUCUUUCAAUUUUCAACGCACCGAGCGUAUAUAUACGGCCAUACCGCAAACUCAUUUUGCACGCUUUCUGGCCAACCACUCCCGCUCACUCAAUUUUUAGCUCUUGUGCACUGUGUUUUGCUAAGCUUUUAGCUUUGAAGCUUCGGAUUUGAAAACAGUUGUUUAGUGCUUCCGAAGAUGUCUGAAGCUGCUAAGAAGGCUGCUGCUGAGAUGAAGCUGAGUCUUGAUGAAGAGAAGAACUUAGGAUUUCUUAUAGCGAUGUCGAAGACCAACACAGAAAAAAUCACCAAUGAGAUUCUGGAAGGACUGUCUGAAGAUACUGGUGACAGUGAAAGUUAUGAUGUAGACAGCGGUGGCGAAGACUCCGAAGAUCGCCCCUGGCGACCAAGUCAUUCAGUUUAUGGUAAAUCAACUAUCAAAGAGAAUCAUCUUGCUAAUAUGAGAGGAAGGUAUUUCCGGGAUUUGUCCGUUGUGAGGGCCGACGAAGGAGAGAAGACUUGUCCACAUCCUGAAGAGAAUGAAGUCGUAGUAUUCCGAAGCUUUUUGAAGGCUGGGCUGCGAUUGCCCUUGAGCAGCUUCGUCGUGGAAGUGCUGAAGAUUUUUGAAGUUUAUCUUCACCAACUUACCCCCGAGGCCAUCAUAAGGCUGAACAUCUUCGUAUGGGCCGUGCGAAGCCAAGGUCUGAAGCCUGAUGCAAAAAGUUUCUGCAAUAUGCACGAAUUAUCAUACGAGACAAUACCUUGGGGUAAGGAACAGUAUCACAAUAACUUUGGCUGCUACAGUUUUGUUUCUCGGUCUGGGUCAAGCUGUCCCGUGCCAACUUUUCGGAAGAGGUGGCCUAGCGGCUGGAUGACAGAAUGGUUUUAUGUAAAAAAUGAUCUGAAAGCACGGGAAGACAUCAAAGGUAUAAUCAUGCGACCUAUUUGGCAAAGCUUCGGCCUUCGGAGGCCGAAGGUUGAAAUGAAUGAAGCCGCCGAAGAGUGCCAAAGAGCCUUCGGCGUUGUCUGCUCUUUUAUAGGAACAAGGGACUUAGUACAAGAGCAUAUCGCCUUCAGGGUGUGGCCGCUUGCGGAGAAAUGGGAAAUGCCACAAGAAACCAUUAAAGAGGCCGACGAAGGUGGACUUAUCAGAUUUAAGUACACUUUUAAAUUUGGAGAUAAAUUUAUUGAGCCAGAUGAUGAGUGGUUGAAAAGCAUUGACAAUUUAAGUGAUGAGCUACUCGGGACCUACUCGAAGGCUGAAGAUAACGCAAUGUCAGCAGCCUUCGGAGGCCGAAAAAAGAAGAGACUGAAUCGGGUAUUUGAUGCCAUCGGGUUUGUCUACCCUGACUAUUGCUAUCCCAUUCGGAGGCAGAAGAGAAAAAACACAACCUCUGCAAAAGAAGAAGCUGCAGCUGCUCCUAGCGAGCCAGAACCGAAAAGGAAAAAGUUAAAGGUUCUUACGCAUCGGCCGCGUUAUAUUGAACCAGCUUCGGUGCCCAAGUUUACCGGAAAAACUUCUUCGGCCACCGAAGCUGAAAAACCAACUGAGCCUGCCUUAUUGCCAGAGAUCGCAGAAACAGCCGAAGUGCCACCAAAGAUAGAAUCAGAACAAUCAAACAUUUUGUUGUCAGAAACAAAAGAGAAAACCGAAGCGCCGUCCACAGAAAAAAUUGAAGAGGUAAAAGAAGCAACUGAGGGCUCCAAAACAUCAGAAGUUUUGAGUCCUACAGCAAUCAUUGGGACAGCAAAAAAUGAAAAAGUGCCAACCGCAACUCCGAAGAGAAAGAGAAUGGCUAAUGUGCUAGAUGUACUGGAAACGAUCAAAUCUUCGAGCACACCUCCGAAGAAGGCUGCUGUUACUCCUGAAACAACAGCUGAAAUUUCUGGUUCUACAGCUCCAGAGCAAGAAAUUGAAGCCGAAGCUGGGCCCUCAGAGCCCGCAAAAACUUUGGAAAGUGAAGCAGAAAAAAUAACAAAGCCAACUUUUAAAGAAACUGGUGUUGUUACCCCCGAAGCAUCCCCCAAAAUUCGUGAUUAUAUUUUUCGUCAUGCUUCGGGGAAAAAAUUAUCAGAAAAAGAAGAACAAGAGGCCCAGCACUAUGCCCAAAAGUUGAAAUAUCCAAAGGGGGCGUUGAUAUUUAAUGGCAGUGGAGAAGAAGAUUUCUUGUAUUGUCUCCCCGAUAGCAAGGAAAUUUCUGUCUGUCGGGAGAUGAGCAGAAGCUUCGGAUUCCCAACUUUAGAAGACGGACUUUCGGUGUUGUCAAAGAACGAUCUGGCUGACAGCCUAGCUUACAACAGUUUAAAGGUGCGAGAAAUGGAAUUCUCGUGUUUUUUGUUGAGUUCAAAAAAAUUUUCGUUUGUUUAAAACUAUUGACACAGACAUAUUCCUGUUUGCAGGGCCUGAUACUCAGCAAUGCCCUCAGGGCACAGAAAGAUGCUGAGGACGAAGGAUGUACUAUAGCCCUGAGCAACCUUCGUUCCGAAGUGAUUGAACUGAGGAACGAAGGUCUCGAAAAAGACAAAAUAUUAUACUCAUUGAUAGAUAAAAUAAAGGAGAACGAAGCUGCUUUUAAAAGUCAAGCUGAAGCUCAGAAACGCGAAAUUGAAGACCUUCGGAAACAACUGGCCAGAGCCAAAGAAGAACGUAUACUUCAAGAAACAAAGCGUGAACUCAGCGAUCAAUGGGCAGAUCACCUAGAAGUGACUGUUGAAGAGCUUCGUUCAUCCAAAAAGAGAUGCUACAACAAAUCUAUAGAUUGUGUUAAAAAAUUAAAGGCUAGCUUCGCCAAGGUCGCCGCAUUCUCAAGUGAGGAAAACUUUUCGAGAGGCAAUCCCGAAGGUGUCAUUGAAUGGAUUGACCACGAAGCUGAAGCCUUCGAAGAAAUUUUAAAUAGUCGAGGAGAUAUAUGUGCCUUCUCUGGCGCCAGAGGGAUUGCCACUAUCUUAGAGAAGAAGGGCUGUGAACAUGUAAAAAUUCUAGCACAGUCCGAAGCUGCCUUGUCCUUUGAAGAUACAAGAGAUCCUACGGCCGAAGCUAGCAUAAUUGGUGGAAAGUUUUUUACCGAUAUCUGGGAUAAUGGUGGCCGAGAAAUGGCCGGAGAAAUUAUUCGAAGAAGUGAGAAGGGCAUUCACGAUGCUAGAGCAGUAGCUGAGGCUGCUGACAAGAGCACAGAAGCCGAAGAUCAACUAGGUACUAAAUAAUGGUUUUUAUCGUGUUGUAAUCUUUAGGCUUUAAGAUCUGCUUGCGAUUUGUAAUAGCAAUGUAGCCGUGUCCUGCUUCAGAUCCGACUAAAGCGCCUUCGGACCCCCAGCCGAAGGGGGACGACGAAAUUAAAAAGAUGGCCGAAGAUAUUAUGGACAAAGUCGUGAAUCGGCUCCUGAAUGAAGCUGCAGAAGUCGUUUUGAGAGAGGAUUAAGCAUUUUUGUAAAAAACUUCUGAAAUGUAAUAUAAUGUAACAUUUUGUAACCCUGAAUGUAAUAUAUCUAUUUUUGUUAUUCAAUUCUUUACGAUGCAUGAAACUUUACAUACAUACCGUUUUUGAGUCUUUGGCGAAAAAACACCUUCCCUUCUUUUCAUGCUUCGUGAAGAAGAAUUACCAUUUAUCACAACAAUAUCCGAAGUAUCAUGGAAAAGUGCUGAAGCUUCGUAGAAACAAUCUUCAAGGCUAUACUUCAGAAAUCAAUAUUGUUUCUCCUUAUGACUUGGCAUGAUUUGCCCCUUUUUCAAAGCGUUUUUCCGAAGAUUAAUGUCAUAUCUCUUUCUUAUGCCACAUGCAUUAUGAUGUAUGAUGCUUAUGUUAUGCAAGGAUGAUGUGAUGAUGUUAUGCUAUGUAAGGUGAUAUUCCGAAGAUACACGCAUAUUUGCGCGAUAAAACACAAUCUUUUUGUGAAUCAGCAUUGUCUUUUCGCUAUAAGCCUCCCUUAGGAGCUUCUUCGCCUUUUACUUCAGCGGAAUCAGCGUUGACUUUUCGCUGUAAGCUCUGCAUUCCCUUAGGAACGUCUUUGGAGCUUCUUCGCCUUUUACUUAGGCGGUAUAAGCUCUGCAUUCCCUUAGGAACGUCUUUGGAGCUUCUUCGCCUUUUACUUAGGCGGUAUCAGCAUUGACUUUUCGCUGUAUGCUCUGCAUUCCUUUUGGAACGACUUUGGAGCAGAAAACUUACACUGCGCUCGCUUCGGAACGACUUUUUGUGACUUCGUCAAACUUACUCUGCGUUCCGCAGAACGACUUUUUGUUGUUUCGAAGAAUUUUCGACAGUCCGAAGGUCCUUUUUAUUAUCACAAGCCUGUGGAGAAAACAUAUUUUUCUUGUAGGAAUCAACGAAACUAAUUACAUGAAACCUAAACAAUGUCCUUUAUUACAGAAAAUAAAACUGAAUGAAAAAGAUUGCUAUUAAGGUAGGAUAUUUGUCAAUAGAUGUGCUUUGAUUCUGGCACUGUGCUAUUGACCGUGCGAGCUUCGGACUGUUCUCUGAAGUCCCUUUGGUGCGGAGCAUAUUGGCUCCCUUCUGGCUGCUGGCCUUGUUGCAACGGAGGUGGAGGCGGAGGCUGUUGCCAGGAAGCUUGAGGCUGACUCGCCGAAGCAGCAGAGACUGCAGGAUGGUUGCCCACAUAUUCUGGGAUGUAGGGCGAAUGAUACGAAGCUGUAUGCAUGACAUGCUUCGGCUGGGCUUGUUGUGCUGCUGCUUCAGCUAUUUCCUUUUGCUUCUGUAUAGUAACAUGGCACAUCCUGGUAGUAUGGCCUUUGUUCUCACCGCAGAAUAAGCAAAAGAUUCUUCUCGGUUGAUCGCCAAAUCUUCCUCCGAAGCCCCUGGCGCCUCUGCCUCUUGGAGCUGGUGGCCGGAAGGAGCUUUGCUGUUGUCCAGAAGCCUGUGAGGAGUAUUGUGGCUUUUGCUGUUGGCUUCCUCUGUCAUCAUUUUGUGUAGAAUUGUGAAUUGAUCGCACAUGCCUCGGGUAAAACCUCCCUCCGAAGCCCCUGGUCAUUUCAGAAAACCUGAAAGCCUCCUCCCUUCUUUGGCGAAAAUCAUUGUCGGCCCGAAUGUAUUCAUCCAUUUUCUGGAGAAGCUUCUCCAAAGUUUGAGGAGGCUUCCUGGCGAAGUACUGAGCUGACGGACCUGGCCGAAGCCCCUUGAUCAUGGCCUCGAUGACAAUUUCAUUGGGCACCGUUGGUGCCUGUGCCCUCAGACGCAAGAACCUUCGGACAUAUGCCUGAAGGUAUUCUUCGUGGUCCUGAGUGCACUGGAACAGAGCCUGAGCAGUGACCGGCUUCGUCUGAAAUCCUUGAAAGCUGGUUAACAACAAAUCCUUCAGCUUCUGCCAUGAAGUGAUCGUGCCUGGUCGAAGGGAGGAAUACCAGGUUUGAGCAACACUUCUGACAGCCAUAACGAAAGAUUUGGCCAUGACUGAAGCAUUGCCACCAUACGAAGAAACUGUUGCUUCGUAGCUCAUCAAAAACUGCUUCGGGUCUGAAUGGCCAUCGAAUACAGGGAGCUGAGGCGGCUUGUAGGACGGGGGCCAAGGUGUAGCCUGCAGCUCAGCGGACAGAGGAGAAGCAUCAUCAAAAACAAAAUUCCCAUGAUGGAAAUUGUCAUACCAAUCAUCUUCGUUGGGAAAACCCUCCUGAUGAAGAUCUUGAUGCUGAGGCCUUCGGUGUUGCUCGUCCUGAGCAAGAUGACGAACUUCUUCAGAGGCUUCGUCUAUCUGCCUCUGCAGUUCAGCUACCCUGGCCAUCUUUUCUUUCUUGCGUUGAACCUGUUGCUGAAGGAUUUCCAGAUUUUGAAUCUCCUGAUCUAGAUCAUCCUCCGGAGGUGUUGGACUGGUAGCCUUCCUCUUCUGGCUUCGUGCCUCUCUAAGAGAAAGGACGUCUUGAUUAGGGUCCAGCGGCUGCAGCGUGCCAGCCCCUGGUGCUGAAGCUUUCUUCGGCGGCAUGACGAAGGUGAUGCUUGUCGAAGAUGUUGAAAAGCUCAAGAAAUGGAAGUGAGUUCACCGGAGGUGGGCGCCAAUGUUGGGGACUUGUUCUCAAGUGCUUCAAUCGAAAGGAAAUGAUAGUACAAGCGUGACGCAGAAAGCAAAUGCCAAGUCAGCGUGAACGGUACGGGAGUACUGUUCACCUAUUUAUAGGCACGGGACGCAACCCAUACAAAAUUACAUUCAUGCCCUUUACAUUUGAUAAUAAUUCUAUGGUAAUGUAUCAAGGUCUGAAUAGCCUUUUCAUCUUUAAGUCGGUUUCAUUUUCUGCAACCACGCCGAAGCUUUCCUGCUCAACACCUUCGGCUCUGUAGCAAGCUUCGUAUUAUUCCAGUCUACUGCAAUGCCGACUUUAGUCCGAGAGUACCUGUUCACACAUUGCACUACAGAAAUACUGUUAAAUCCUUGUUUUUGAGGACCUUCGGACUCCGAAGGUCCCCAACAGGUGACUUACCCAUUCAGUGACUUUGGCACUGGACGUUCCAAAAACGGGUACUAUCGGAUCGGGUGUUUUGGACGGAUUUGUUGAAACGAUUUUCAACAGGUACCCCUUGGAAAUGGGGUACUUGACUAUUCUACAAGGAUUAUAGUGGAUUUGGAACAAACUAUGUUGGAGUUUUAUCAAUAAUUUUAUUCUAAAAAAAAGGGUUGGGAGUCGAAUUUAUACUGCAGAGUAUCAAAAUUAUACUACUGCCUGCCCAACAAAAAAUAAAAAGCAUAUCCUACAUACCUAACUCCUCCAGGUUCA
Molecule: long non-coding RNA, 7420 nt
Filed under: Zea mays
Lineage: Eukaryota; Viridiplantae; Streptophyta; Magnoliopsida; Poales; Poaceae
Description: long non-coding RNA (ZMAY_LNC002335)
Source: RNAcentral